CCCUUAGACGUUCUGGGCUGCACGCGCGCUACACUGACCAGUGCAACAAGCAUCCGUCCUUGGCCGACAGGCUCGGGCAAUCUUUGAACGCUGGUCGUGAUGGGGAUAGACUUUUGCAAUUUUUGGUCUUCAACGAGGAAUUCCUAGUAAACGCAAGUCAUCAACUUGCAUUGAUUACGUCCCUGCCCUUUGUACACACCGCCCGUCGCACCUACCGAUUGAAUGGUCCGGUGAAGCCUCCGGAUUGGCGCGCACCUCGGUGCCGCCGAGAAGUUGGCUAAACCUUACCAUUUAGAGGAAGGUGAAGUCGUAACA
Molecule: ribosomal RNA, 315 nt
Filed under: uncultured eukaryote
Lineage: Eukaryota
Description: partial 18S ribosomal RNA
Rfam family: Eukaryotic small subunit ribosomal RNA
Source: RNAcentral